AACAGGAUUAGAUACCCUGGUAGUCCACGCCCUAAACGAUGUCUACUAGUUGUCGGGUUUUAAUUAACUUGGUAACGCAGCUAACGCGUGAAGUAGACCGCCUGGGGAGUACGGUCGCAAGAUUAAAACUCAAAGGAAUUGACGGGGACCCGCACAAGCGGUGGAUGAUGUGGAUUAAUUCGAUGCAACGCGAAAAACCUUACCUACCCUUGACAUGUACGGAAGCCACGAGAGAUCGAGGUGUGCUCGAAAGAGAACCGUAACACAGGUGCUGCAUGGCUGUCGUCAGCUCGUGUCGUGAGAUGUUGGGUUAAGUCCCGCAACGAGCGCAACCCUUGUCAUUAGUUGCUACGAAAGAGCACUCUAAUGAGACUGCCGGUGACAAACCGGAGGAAGGUGGGGAUGACGUCAAGUCCUCAUGGCCCUUAUGGGUAGGGCUUCACACGUCAUACAAUGGUACAUACAGAGGGCCGCCAACCCGCGAGGGGGAGCUAAUCCCAGAAAGUGUAUCGUAGUCCGGAUUGUAGUCUGCAACUCGACUACAUGAAGUUGGAAUCGCUAGUAAUCGCGGAUCAGCAUGUCGCGGUGAAUACGUUCCCGGGUCUUGUACACACCGCCCGUCACACCAUGGGAGCGGGUUUUACCAGAAGUAGGUAGCUUAACCGCAAGGGGGGCGCUUACCACGGUAGGAUUCGUGACUGGGGUGAAGUCGUAACAAGGUAACC
Molecule: ribosomal RNA, 725 nt
Filed under: uncultured bacterium
Lineage: Bacteria
Description: bacterial SSU rRNA
Rfam family: Bacterial small subunit ribosomal RNA
Source: RNAcentral